AUUGAACGCUGGCGGCAGGCUUAACACAUGCAAGUCGAGCGAGCGGCGGACGGGUGAGUAAUGUAUGGGAAACUGCCUGAUGGAGGGGGAUAACUACUGGAAACGGUAGCUAAUACCGCAUACCAUCGGAUGUACCCAGAUGGGAUUAGCUAGUAGGUGGGGUAAUGGCUCACCUAGGCGACGAUCCCUAGCUGGUCUGAGAGGAUGAUCAGCCACACUGGGACUGAGACACGGUCCAGACUCCUACGGGAGGCAGCAGUGGGGAAUAUUGCACAAUGGGCGCAAGCCUGAUGCAGCCAUGCCGCGUGUAUGAAGAAGGCCUUCGGGUUGUAAAGCACUUUCAGCGAGGAGGCGUUACUCGCAGAAGAAGCACCGGCUAACUCCGUGCCAGCCGCCGCGGUAAUAC
Molecule: ribosomal RNA, 406 nt
Filed under: uncultured bacterium
Lineage: Bacteria
Description: partial 16S ribosomal RNA
Rfam family: Bacterial small subunit ribosomal RNA
Source: RNAcentral